AUUGUAUUGAUUUGUGUUGAGAGAAUAAUGUGUCCUAGGGGGGUCCCUUGCCCCUCCUUAUAUAGUCCGGAGGGCAGGGUUACAGAUCUGGAAACUAAUCCUAGUCGAUUACAAUUGCCAUAGAUAGUUCGAUAUCAAUUCCUAUUCUAACCGACUAGAAUCCCGCUUGAUCUCCACAUCUUGUUUCCUUGCGCGAAACUCCAAACUGUCGGAUCAAGCCUUGAACUUGUCUCGUAAUGGGCCAAGCCUCCUGGCCCAAGUCUAGCCGUAAGGGUAUAGGGGUUUAUACCCCCACAGCUAGUCCCCGAGCACCAUGUAUUGUGAAGUAACAC
Molecule: long non-coding RNA, 332 nt
Filed under: Sorghum bicolor (sorghum)
Lineage: Eukaryota; Viridiplantae; Streptophyta; Magnoliopsida; Poales; Poaceae
Description: long non-coding RNA (SBIC_LNC000150)
Source: RNAcentral